CUGCUGCAGCGAUGAUGGAUUGUAUUGUAUCAAACCUUCUGGUUAACUGAUGUCGGAGCCAUGGAAUAAAAGCGAAAGCAUGAUCUUAGUUUAGUUAUGUGCGUAAAAAAGCUCAUGUACAUAUGUGACUUAAAUAUGUAGUUGCAGUCUCACACAAAGGAAGAGAGAAGAUAAAUUGAUGUCAAUGAAUUGUGAAUGGAAAUAAAAACACCAGACUGAAUUAUGUACUCUUUUUUUCCUAGCUUAAAUUAUUUAUUGAUAUUGUACUACACCCUGUUAUUCUAAUUUUAUACACUUCUUUCUUGCCCAAAAAUAUAUUAAUUGGUUCUUAGCUUCCUAAAACUCAGGAAUAUUUUAUCUUUCUCAUACAUUUUAAUUCAUUUUAUGCAGUCUGAGAUAAUACUGACGCGAUGUCCAGAUUUGGAUGUCUCAUCUCUGAACAUUUGAAACGCCGAGUACUCCAUGAAAGCUUGCCUAGCCGCUUUUGCGCAAUAUUAUAUCUUUGGACGUUUGCACUUCCGCGGCUCUAGACAUGAGCUUCCUUAUAUGAGUGCUAGCACGCUACAAUGCAGAGAAAGCUUUGAGAAAAUGCUUUGUUGGGAUCAUAGACAAGAAUAAUCAAUCCUCGUUCCAAGGUUAGAUUUGUACUUCCUUCCCAGUUCUUCUUUACAAAGGACCAAUCCCCUUACUUUAGACAUUCAUGUUGUCUUAAUUUUAUUCCUUCAUAGAAAAACAUUUUCUCAUUUCAAUCUUUCUCCAUUUGGUCUGAAUAUGGCACAUGCUCUUAAUUUUUUGACUAUUCUUGGUUGAUUAAUGGUUGGUGUAUUGCCUUCCACUUUGGAUUAUUCUCAAUCCUCUUGCUUAGGCUAUGUGUACCAUUCUAUCGCAUGUCGCCGCCACCGAUCUGAGCAAAAAUUAGUGUAGAUGAACCGAGCUAUUUUAUUGUAAGUUGUGUACAGAACUUAAUGGGAAAAUAAUCAUGUAGUUAAUGUUUUAUGCCAUAUAUAUCCAUAGUAGGUGAAUCCUCGCAAGUUGGUCCCGGUAUCUAAAUAGGAUUGUGCCAACCUAGAGCCUUUUCAGAUUGUAGCAACUCUGUUUGGGGUUUCCUUCUACCUAAUCAAGGCUCAUUCCAGUUUGCUCUGUCCUUAUCUCUUUUUCUGUCAUAAAUUCUUCACCUAUUCAAGAAGCUCAUUUUUUGUUAGUUGGAACAACUAAAAAAAUCAUGUCCAUGUUGUACUGGUGACUUGAUAUAUUGUAUUUUUAAUCACAUUGCCGCAUAUUUCUCUAUUUAGAGUACAGUGAGGAAAAUGUCAACCUCCUGCAACCAACCAUGCAGUAAUUUACUAUUUUGAGCUCUCUGGAUAUCAUAUAUAGAUGUACAUUUCAGUGCCUUUCUUUUCUGGACUACACUACUUUUCAGAUUUCAAGUGUCUGAAUCUUCCGUACAAAAGAUAGUCAAGCUUAUAUGGUGUUUCAUAGGAGCAUUGAUACCAAUCAUUGAGAAUAUACCUCUCUUCUACAUGUAUGUGAUUGUCAUAGUACCUAGGUUCAAGAAAUGUUUUUAAUGGUGCUAGAGUCCGGGAAGUAAAAACUGAACCUUUUAUGGUGAAGGAUCAUCGCGGAGAAGGUGAAUUUACGCCUCUGCUUUAUCUGUAACCGUUUCUUCGUGUUAGUAUUAAGCCACCAGGGAAGUUUCAAGAAAAAUGUGCUUUGAAGUACCAUAUUAUGCAGUUAGCUCACGGAUACAAUGAUACAGUUAUCUCCAUCCUGAGAUGCCCUCCUAACUACUAUACUCAUUCAUGUGCCUUCUGCUCUAUGGCACACCUGGAAUGGGGACGAUAUUGUUUGAUAGAGCCACCGCCCAUUAUGAAAUGAAUUGGAUUGGAUUACACAUUAUCGUGUGCUUUAUCAGGAGUUGUGUAAGUACUAAUUAUGCCAACCUGGGGCAACACUCCAAUGGUUUCUCCACAAAGGAUACCUCCUGGAGCCCUACUUCUCUCCCACCCCCAACACCGGUAUAGUAUGAAAAUCCUAUUACUAAAUAGCUUACUGUUUGAUGCUUAUGUUUGUUGGUAUAGUAAUCAUUUUUGAAGGUCCAGUCCCGGAGGAUGUUACUCGAGGCUUCCGUAUAGUCGAGUGAUUUUGCUUUUGCAUGCUAAUAAUACAAUACAGAUGGAUAUAAUUAGCAGUUAUUAGUGCAUAAUAUUUUGUCUCAAUACCAUAAAUUCAAUGUAAAGGUUUGCAUUAUUAUUGUCAAACCUAAAUUACAUUAAAGACUUGAACAGGGAAUGAUGCCUCUUUUAACUGAUUGGUGUGCUUUUUUAACUAUCUUUAAUGAGUAAAUCAUAGUGUAGUUGCAUCUUAUAUUUUGUUUGGGCAUGUAGGUGUGUGCUUCCUCGCUUAUCCCUUUCUUAUAAGUUGUCCUCAUUUUGUUGCUUCUAUUUAGGUUUGGAUUUUCUUCAACCCACAAGGCCCAUCCAGUUGUGAGCUACAAUGAAUUUGUUAAGAGUUGGAGGAGACAACAUUGCACAUUAGAGUCUCCAUUUCAUCUAAGCGGGGUGGUGAUGGACAAAACUGGUCAUGUUGAAAGUCAGUUUAGUGCAUCAAGGAUGGGAGGUUCAGAGAUUUGCAAGAGGUGAUGGAGGAUGGUUAGUUAUUAUGGCUCAUCACAUAGUAGUGAAAGAUGAGUACAAGCACAAGCUUAUUCAAAAUUUGCAGUUCUUGACUACAUGGGACAUAUAUUUUGUAAUCUUUUUCAUUUCUUCUAAGAGGAUCAAAUAUGUAUUUUGUUCUUCCCAAUGUUCUCAAGGACGAUGAUGGCAUUGAUAUAGUAUAA
Molecule: long non-coding RNA, 2836 nt
Organism: Triticum aestivum (bread wheat)
Lineage: Eukaryota; Viridiplantae; Streptophyta; Magnoliopsida; Poales; Poaceae
Exons: 3
Source: RefSeq, a predicted model, not a curated record